Molecule: ribosomal RNA, 2920 nt
Filed under: Staphylococcus aureus subsp. aureus AMRF2
Lineage: Bacteria; Bacillati; Bacillota; Bacilli; Caryophanales; Staphylococcaceae
Description: bacterial LSU rRNA
Rfam family: Bacterial large subunit ribosomal RNA
Source: RNAcentral
UUAAGUUAUUAAGGGCGCACGGUGGAUGCCUUGGCACUAGAAGCCGAUGAAGGACGUUACUAACGACGAUAUGCUUUGGGGAGCUGUAAGUAAGCUUUGAUCCAGAGAUUUCCGAAUGGGGAAACCCAGCAUGAGUUAUGUCAUGUUAUCGAUAUGUGAAUACAUAGCAUAUCAGAAGGCACACCCGGAGAACUGAAACAUCUUAGUACCCGGAGGAAGAGAAAGAAAAUUCGAUUCCCUUAGUAGCGGCGAGCGAAACGGGAAGAGCCCAAACCAACAAGCUUGCUUGUUGGGGUUGUAGGACACUCUAUACGGAGUUACAAAGGACGACAUUAGACGAAUCAUCUGGAAAGAUGAAUCAAAGAAGGUAAUAAUCCUGUAGUCGAAAAUGUUGUCUCUCUUGAGUGGAUCCUGAGUACGACGGAGCACGUGAAAUUCCGUCGGAAUCUGGGAGGACCAUCUCCUAAGGCUAAAUACUCUCUAGUGACCGAUAGUGAACCAGUACCGUGAGGGAAAGGUGAAAAGCACCCCGGAAGGGGAGUGAAAUAGAACCUGAAACCGUGUGCUUACAAGUAGUCAGAGCCCGUUAAUGGGUGAUGGCGUGCCUUUUGUAGAAUGAACCGGCGAGUUACGAUUUGAUGCAAGGUUAAGCAGUAAAUGUGGAGCCGUAGCGAAAGCGAGUCUGAAUAGGGCGUUUAGUAUUUGGUCGUAGACCCGAAACCAGGUGAUCUACCCUUGGUCAGGUUGAAGUUCAGGUAACACUGAAUGGAGGACCGAACCGACUUACGUUGAAAAGUGAGCGGAUGAACUGAGGGUAGCGGAGAAAUUCCAAUCGAACCUGGAGAUAGCUGGUUCUCUCCGAAAUAGCUUUAGGGCUAGCCUCAAGUGAUGAUUAUUGGAGGUAGAGCACUGUUUGGACGAGGGGCCCUCUCGGGUUACCGAAUUCAGACAAACUCCGAAUGCCAAUUAAUUUAACUUGGGAGUCAGAACAUGGGUGAUAAGGUCCGUGUUCGAAAGGGAAACAGCCCAGACCACCAGCUAAGGUCCCAAAAUAUAUGUUAAGUGGAAAAGGAUGUGGCGUUGCCCAGACAACUAGGAUGUUGGCUUAGAAGCAGCCAUCAUUUAAAGAGUGCGUAAUAGCUCACUAGUCGAGUGACACUGCGCCGAAAAUGUACCGGGGCUAAACAUAUUACCGAAGCUGUGGAUUGUCCUUUGGACAAUGGUAGGAGAGCGUUCUAAGGGCGUUGAAGCAUGAUCGUAAGGACAUGUGGAGCGCUUAGAAGUGAGAAUGCCGGUGUGAGUAGCGAAAGACGGGUGAGAAUCCCGUCCACCGAUUGACUAAGGUUUCCAGAGGAAGGCUCGUCCGCUCUGGGUUAGUCGGGUCCUAAGCUGAGGCCGACAGGCGUAGGCGAUGGAUAACAGGUUGAUAUUCCUGUACCACCUAUAAUCGUUUUAAUCGAUGGGGGGACGCAGUAGGAUAGGCGAAGCGUGCGAUUGGAUUGCACGUCUAAGCAGUAAGGCUGAGUAUUAGGCAAAUCCGGUACUCGUUAAGGCUGAGCUGUGAUGGGGAGAAGACAUUGUGUCUUCGAGUCGUUGAUUUCACACUGCCGAGAAAAGCCUCUAGAUAGAAAAUAGGUGCCCGUACCGCAAACCGACACAGGUAGUCAAGAUGAGAAUUCUAAGGUGAGCGAGCGAACUCUCGUUAAGGAACUCGGCAAAAUGACCCCGUAACUUCGGGAGAAGGGGUGCUCUUUAGGGUUAACGCCCAGAAGAGCCGCAGUGAAUAGGCCCAAGCGACUGUUUAUCAAAAACACAGGUCUCUGCUAAACCGUAAGGUGAUGUAUAGGGGCUGACGCCUGCCCGGUGCUGGAAGGUUAAGAGGAGUGGUUAGCUUCUGCGAAGCUACGAAUCGAAGCCCCAGUAAACGGCGGCCGUAACUAUAACGGUCCUAAGGUAGCGAAAUUCCUUGUCGGGUAAGUUCCGACCCGCACGAAAGGCGUAACGAUUUGGGCACUGUCUCAACGAGAGACUCGGUGAAAUCAUAGUACCUGUGAAGAUGCAGGUUACCCGCGACAGGACGGAAAGACCCCGUGGAGCUUUACUGUAGCCUGAUAUUGAAAUUCGGCACAGCUUGUACAGGAUAGGUAGGAGCCUUUGAAACGUGAGCGCUAGCUUACGUGGAGGCGCUGGUGGGAUACUACCCUAGCUGUGUUGGCUUUCUAACCCGCACCACUUAUCGUGGUGGGAGACAGUGUCAGGCGGGCAGUUUGACUGGGGCGGUCGCCUCCUAAAAGGUAACGGAGGCGCUCAAAGGUUCCCUCAGAAUGGUUGGAAAUCAUUCAUAGAGUGUAAAGGCAUAAGGGAGCUUGACUGCGAGACCUACAAGUCGAGCAGGGUCGAAAGACGGACUUAGUGAUCCGGUGGUUCCGCAUGGAAGGGCCAUCGCUCAACGGAUAAAAGCUACCCCGGGGAUAACAGGCUUAUCUCCCCCAAGAGUUCACAUCGACGGGGAGGUUUGGCACCUCGAUGUCGGCUCAUCGCAUCCUGGGGCUGUAGUCGGUCCCAAGGGUUGGGCUGUUCGCCCAUUAAAGCGGUACGCGAGCUGGGUUCAGAACGUCGUGAGACAGUUCGGUCCCUAUCCGUCGUGGGCGUAGGAAAUUUGAGAGGAGCUGUCCUUAGUACGAGAGGACCGGGAUGGACAUACCUCUGGUGUACCAGUUGUCGUGCCAACGGCAUAGCUGGGUAGCUAUGUGUGGACGGGAUAAGUGCUGAAAGCAUCUAAGCAUGAAGCCCCCCUCAAGAUGAGAUUUCCCAACUUCGGUUAUAAGAUCCCUCAAAGAUGAUGAGGUUAAUAGGUUCGAGGUGGAAGCAUGGUGACAUGUGGAGCUGACGAAUACUAAUCGAUCGAAGACUUAAUCAA